This is a non-coding RNA of Phasianus colchicus (ring-necked pheasant), 1413 nucleotides long. The record is from RefSeq and is a predicted model, not a curated record. Lineage: Eukaryota; Metazoa; Chordata; Aves; Galliformes; Phasianidae.
CCUUAUCUUGUCCUUUCCUUACUCAAUAUGUGCAGCACGAUUUUUCCAGAUGGUGUGCAAGCUUGGAGGAAUUAUCCCCCUUGCACCAGGGCUAUUGCACAACUGCCAAUAAAACAUACCUUCUCUAUAUCCAUACACGCCAUAGGGUUUGAUUUUCCGUACGUCACCAGAAGGAAACUCGGUGCUGUUGAAGCCCUGACCAGUGACAAGGUCGGAGGUAACGCCUGCCGGCAGAUGUGGCCAACAAUUGAGGUGAGGAGGGAAUGAAACACGAUGGCUGAGCUGACGGCAGAGAGCUUCUGGGAAAAGCUUGCCAGCUCUGAAUUUGGUCCGAUGACCUUCUUGUGUGCGGAUGUCCAGCCCCGCUUUGCGGAGCAGCCUACGUUCCGCGAUGCGCCUAGUAGGCCUGGGGCUCGGAGCAGGCCAGGCGGAACCCAGUGUGCUUUGCUCUCAUUGGUCCGGUGCAGUUCCUCCCGCCCCCGGCCUCUCAUUGGUCCGGUGCAGCGCCGUCCCGCCCCCGGGCUCGCAUUGGCCAGCGGCAGCGCCACCGGCUCCGAUUGGCUGAGAUGCAGCGCGCGGGAGCGGCCGUUGGCCCCGAGCUCGGAGCCGCCGGGGUCUCCUCUCAGCCCACUCAGCACCGCCCUCCCCGGAGCUCUGCCCCUGACCCCUCCCCCACCUCCCGAGUAGAUCCCUGAGGGCUCUCCGUUCCCCCCCCUCCCGUCCUCUUCGCCCCCCGCUGCCCCUGGAGCUGCACUCGGGCUUCAGGCCGUGCGUGCGGGCUGCGUUGCCAUGGCAACACCGCGCACUCCCACCUUGCGGCGCGCGCAGCCGUCCCCGCGACGACGGCGCAUGCGUAACGGCGUCCCCAUGGCGACAGCGCCUGAGCGCGCACGCGCCGUCCCCGCCGAGAGACGUCAUCACGCUGCGACCCGAGGAGUUGGCCGUGCGGAAGUCGUGCCGUGUCCCGCACCGCUCCGACGCCGCCUCGGCUCCUCCAGGUCAAUUUUAUUGUCACUGUAACCGUGGAACCUGGGGCUGUACCAACGUACCUCGAGAGCCCCAUCAGCGUCCUCUAGCUCCUGGAUGCUGUCACCCUGGCUGUCCAUGAGUGUCCCACGCUGUCUCCCCUGCCAUGGUGGCACAAGUGCAGCGCAGUGCCAUCCUCUUUGAAGAGGUCAUCAAGAAAGUUCUUGAAGAAGACAGGCCCCAGCACCAACCCCUGGGGAACACCACUCGUGACCGGUCACCAGCUGGAUUUAACUCCAUUGACCACCACUCUCUGAGCCCGGCCCUCCAGCCAGCUCCUCACCCAGCCCAGAGUGUAGCCAUCCAAGCCUCAGGCUGCAGCUUCUGCAGGAGAAUACUGUGGGAGGCAGUGUCAAAGGCUUUGCUGAAGUCUAGGUAGACCACAUC